RNAcentral lists this transfer RNA (73 nucleotides) under Ailuropoda melanoleuca (giant panda). It matches the Rfam family "tRNA". From Rfam's summary of the family: Transfer RNA (tRNA) molecules are approximately 80 nucleotides in length. Their secondary structure includes four short double-helical elements and three loops (D, anti-codon, and T loops). Further hydrogen bonds mediate the characteristic L-shaped molecular structure. tRNAs have two regions of fundamental functional importance: the anti-codon, which is responsible for specific mRNA codon recognition, and the 3' end, to which the tRNAs corresponding amino acid is attached (by aminoacyl-tRNA synthetases). tRNAs cope with the degeneracy of the genetic code in two manners: having more than one tRNA (with a specific anti-codon) for a particular amino acid; and 'wobble' base-pairing, i.e. permitting non-standard base-pairing at the 3rd anti-codon position. Lineage: Eukaryota; Metazoa; Chordata; Mammalia; Carnivora; Ursidae. The record is from Rfam by way of RNAcentral.
GCCUGAUUGGCUCAGUUGGUAGAGCGUAGGACUCAUGAUCUUGGGGCCGUAAGUUUGAGCCCCAUGUUGGGUG